This 16956-nucleotide long non-coding RNA is filed under the name Coffea arabica (coffee). RNAcentral's name for it is "long non-coding RNA (CARA_LNC006679)". Lineage: Eukaryota; Viridiplantae; Streptophyta; Magnoliopsida; Gentianales; Rubiaceae. The record is from RNAcentral.
UUUUUUUUUUUUUUUUUGUAAACAGAGUCUCGAAUCCCAAAUCUCUCACAUACACUCGCUCUUUUGAAUUACUCAUUCCAUCCCUCCAUGGCACGUAGUUCUCAAGUAUAAACAAUUAAGGAUUGGAUAUGCCACAAAAUACACAACUAAGAUGGUACUAAAUUCACUGGCAAAGUAAAUUUUAAAGCAGGAAGAAUAGUUACUAAGCGAGAGAAGUUUUACGUUAGUUGGCAUAACUACGAGGCAUGCGUAGUAUUUGUUCCAUAACCUAUAAAAAAAAAAAAAAAAAAAAGACAUCACAUGAACAUAUAAGUAUCUCACUUACUAAUUCACAUGCUAAGUGGAGUUCAAUAGACAUGUUAAAUGAAGCCAAGUGGACUCUUAUAUGUUCACGUGGAAUUCUUUCAUUAGUUAGGAAAUAAGUAUUAGACAUGCUUUUUAUAGUUGUUUUGAGCAUAUAUAAAACUUUUCAUUAGUAAAAGGAUUAACAAGUUAAUUGCCAUAUUGGAGGAAGAAAUAGAUUGAAUGGUACGGAAAAAAAAAAGAGUAUAAAUAAGAGAGAAUCUUGAUUUGAUUCUAGACAUCCCAUACUAAAUAAAGAAAUAAGAAAAGCAAAUUUUAAUUACCCGAAUCUCCCAAAUUAAGCUGGGAGUGAGUGGGCGCGACCAACGAAGCGAGUAGUACCGGAGGAAUGAAGGAUAAGUGGGCUGGACUGGAGUGGGACAAAACGGGGCUCUCCAAUGUGUCGCGAUUCGUACUUGAUCGUCAUCAGAGGAAGCAAUACGAGUGUCCCCCUCUUAUCCCUACACACAAUACUGUUGCGAUGUUCCCCUGGCAGCACGCUCAAAAUUCCCCUUGCCUUCUUUCCUUCUGUCAAUUAUAACCACUGGCGUCUGGACCCCACCUCCUAUUAUGUGUUUGUCUCUCUUAAUACCCCCUCCUAAUUACUCCCUUUGUUUUUACCCAAAUAAAUACUCUCUUAUUAUGUCCCUAAUCAUAAUCCUAAUCAUUCCACUGUUCCAUAAAGUUCCUGCAAUUUUUUGACCCAUCUAUUAUGAAAAAGUGCUUCCUCUGUGAUGGAAUAUCAUGAUUGCACCACUUACACUCCUGUAAUUAUUGAUCUCCUAGACCUGCAAAUACCCACGUAUAGACUUUUAAUGUAUAGUCUUCCUCUUCUUCUUCUACGUGGCUUUUUUUUUUUUGAGGGAUGACAUGUUUCUGGCAAUCAAAUUGAACGCACUUUACAAGAUCUACGGAGGAAGAGCAAAAGAAAAAGGUAGGAGUGGUUGCAUUGCAUAUCAUCCUUUUCAUCUUAAAAAAAGAAUCAUAUAACAAAAACAGUAGCGUUACACUCUUUUUUUUCCCCUAAUAAAAAAAUUUCCAAAUCAUCUUCGAUCUGAGCACGCUAAAUCGUCAUUCUAUUAAGUGCUUGCAGCUUUGGAGUCCAUCUCGUAGAUGUAGAGGUGCCACAUGGAUAAUUCAUACAAGUUCAACAAGUGAUAUGUCUAAUUGAAUAAACACACCUAUAUACCCACUUAAUAAAUGAACAUGAACAUACCUAAUUGCAUAUUAUUCAUGACCGACCUGCUUAAAAUUCUACUUAUUUUUUUUUUUGGUCCAGAUGUUGUUUGACAAGUGAAAACAACAUUUUAUUGGUAUUGAGUUUGCUAGAAAUUCAAAUUCAUCCACUUAAUGUUCACAAAAAAUUGAGUUCGAACGUGCAAUUUUUUUAAAAUAGGUAUAAAUAGGUAAUGCGAAUCAAUUUAUUGCCCACCGAUUGGAUGGGCUUGAUUGAGUCACCCACCUAAAUCUAUUUAAAAUUCAUUGCGCAUUCAAAGUCACUUAUUAAUUGAUGGAUGUGGAUGAAGUAAUAUAAUUGAAUUGUAAUUUACACCGAUACUUGCCUGGAAGCAUAUAACCAACACAUACCAUAUUGCUUAGCAAAUGGCACGCAAAAAAUUAAAAGCGCAACUCAUAAAUCAAUAGUAAUUUGCGUUAUCUGUACGCUCAAGUUACGUAAUUUGACGAGGAGCAGUUCUUCCUUUUCGCUUUCUCUUUUGUCAUUGCCAUAUCGCUUAAUCUCCACACUUCAACUCAUGCCACAUACGGCCUUCAGUGAGGUCGUCCCUGUGAUUGCAGAUUGAGGGAAGCCCACUUCGAAUCAUCAUAAGCAACCGCAGCAGCCGGAUGUCCUGGCUUUUGCUCUAUAAAACUUUCUUCUUCUUCUUCUUCUUUUUUUUUUGGGUGGUAAAUGAUUGACAUUAAUUUGUGCAUGAUGUAGAGUGGAUUUGACGAAGGCGCAGGAUGGAGCACAAUAAUGCCAGUGUCCUCCUUAUUCAACGUUGUAAAUUAUCACAAUUGACCAAAAUUAAUCACGAGUAGCCACUGGCCAUUUGGUCCGGUGGUCAUCACCAUCUUUGGUGAUGCUGGGUUCAACCCUUAUCUCCCACAAACUUGUCACUUUACGUGGCUGGUCUUUUGCCUCCACGGGAUAGCUUGAGCGGCCCGCUCCCCCUCUUUAGGGUAUGGCGACCUUCUUGGCUUGUUCAGGAUUCGAGUCCCGUUGUUAACGUGCUCGGUGUGGAGUGGGGCCUUCUCUCCCGGACCGCAGGAGAUUAGUCGGACCCCGUAAGAAUUGACCCUGUGUUGACAAAAAAAAAAAAAAAAAAACACGAGUAGCAAAUCCAGAACUUAAUGAUGGAAUGGAGAGAUCCACGUCGGCUGAUAUGACUCUCCAGCUAUGUAUGUAUCUCUCACUUUUUUUUUUCCCUUCCCUUAUGCUGUUCUUUUUGUGCAUGACUCACUUUUGUAAAUUCAUUUGCAUUUUUCAUAAAGUGAUUGCUACUAAUUAAUAGAUACUAGUAAUAUCCCGACUGUCGUAAAGGUCCAAAAAAGGCACCCCACAUCCAAAUCCAAACCAUAAUGAAAGGCUAAAACCGCGGGGCUCUUCAGUUUAUUUGAAAGAAUAUCUCAGCUUUACCAAUAUUCAUCGUGAUCUUAGUGUUGUAGAACAGAAUGUAGACCGAUGCCUGGACCACUCUACAAACAGAGAUACGUUCGACAUCAGUACUACAAUUUUGGCUUUUUUUCACUGUCCUCCUCCAGCUCAGUGGUGCUUUCAGUACAGUAAAGGGAUAAAAAAUAAAAAAACAAAAAACACGGAGAGAGAGAGAGAGAGAGAGAGAGAGAGAGAGAGAGAGUACGAUAACAAGACUAUAAACCCCAUUAAUAAUUCAUUGUCCAUGAUUAUGGUUUGUUCUCGAUUGAUUAUUUUAAUUACAGUAAUCUUAAAAAAUUUAUCAGAAAUUUUAAGUUAUAUAUUUCAAAAUAUCUAAAAAUUUAUACAUUAAAAAAAAAUUAAUAAUUUGUCACGGUAAGUUAUAGUAGAAUUUUAGACCGAUACCCGAAAGAACUCAUUUGCCAAACCGAAAAUUUUGAUACCACCUUUAAGUACAUGCCAAAUAGGAUAUUUGAUGUCCUCCAACAUCUAGACUUGAUAGUAUUAAUUUGUCUUUCAUGUUUUUGUUUGUUGUUUUGAUAGAUGGUAGUAGUAUAUAAAACAAUCACCUUAUCCUGAGGCUGCUGCAGACAGAACCAGGCUUCCUUUUUUUUUUCUCUUAUAAAUUACCUGGCCCUUCACCUGAAGUCUUGAACUAUAGAGAUAGAUAGAUUUGUAGGCCAAAUUUACCUCCGUACGUGGGGAAUUCCCAGCACCAGUAAGGAGAGGGGUAUUUAGUAUUUACUACUACCAGUACUUUCGUGGGAUGCUUGCUUAUUUAUUAUAGUCCAUAGGACCCAAAUUAAGGCAAAAUCCAUGUCGUGGGACCCAGUGGGAAGCAUGUGCAUGAUCGACACGUGUGAUGAGAUUAAGGGUGGGGGAUUAAGAGGUAUCGAGAGUACCGCAAAAUUGAGGAAUAAUCAAUAAUGUGCCGCUGGGAUUGCGGCGAGUUUAAUUUCCAAAGGUUUUGAAAAGUGUGCAAAGUGCAAACGAACCCUCCGAUCCAAUUCCUUGCUACUCACUGUACAGAGCAGAGUAGAUCGCAAGUAGCGGGAAGAGGAGGAGGAGGAGGAGGAGUAGUUCGCAACUUCGCGUGCUACUGGGAUUUCGAUUUCGGAGAAGAGUUUGGACCGUUGGAUCAAGUGAGCAUCCACACGCGCAUGCAUGCAUGAUACUUACUCUGUGGUCCCCAUCCAUUUAAUCACGUGGCUUGCGCAGGAUUGAUGCGAAUUUGUGGAUCAAGGAUAAAUCUGUAGUGUCACUGCUAAAUACUGCACGGUAGUAUUUUUAUUUUCAGACGCAUCCCAUUUAAUCUAAAUAAAUUUAAGCCUUGUUUGAAUUGUCAUUUAUUUUUUUAAAAUUUUUUAAAUAUUUUUUGUAAACAUAUUUUUAAUCAUCUUUUUAUCUCAUAUACAUUAAAUCGUUAUAAUAUAUUAUUCUACAAAAAUUUCACUAAAUAACAAUUCAAACGUAUCCUUAAAUCUGAAUCUCAAAAUAUGAAUAUAUAUAUAUUAAUCCUUUUUUCGAUUUAUCUUUUGGCUAUCCUCUGCAUCCUGUGAACUGCGUGCAGGAGUCAUUUUUCAGAUUAAAGGACUAAAAGGAGAUGAUAAAAACGAAUCCACCCUUUACUGCAGGAUAUAUUAAGAAAACUGGGGCUCUAUUCAGAUUAUGUUCUCGUUUUAAGGAUGAUUAGUGUCGCUUAUCGUCCGCUGAACGGAACAUUCUCUUGAUAACAACCCCAAAAAAAAAAAAAACCUUAUUAAUUGCUUUUCGUUGUAACUAAAACGGUUUGAGCAGACCUGCGCCAGAAUGAACCAUUAAAUGAAUGGCACGUGGCCAGUUUCACUAACAUGCGCCUCUCAUAAAUUUGUCGUGAACCGCAGGCGUGGCCGAACGGUCAAACAUCAGAAGGGAAAGCACAGUGAGAAAGGUAGGCCCCAAUGAAAAGGGCAGAGAUCCCACGAAGAAAUUUGCAUUGAAAAAUCAUCCCAGAAAAGGCAAUACAAACUUUACAAAGUCGUGGAAUCUGAAUCUCUUGGUUCUUGAAAUACAUUUAAGAACUUGGAGCAUUUCCUCGAUAUGCCCAAUUUUUGCACUCUUCAUCCCUUGGCUUCAUUUUUAAUUCUACUUUAGCCCGUCAAGUUUCAACAAUAUCAUAUUUGGUUCCCAAAUUCUUAUUUUCGUUCUAUUUUGGUCUCUCGUGUUUUAGUAUCAAAACAUUUGGUCCUUUAUGCACCUAAAGUAUAACCAUUUGAAGACGAAACAAUUAUUAGAUACAGUUUUCGUACAAUUAAGUGCAACAAAUGUACUUAAAAAUAAAAACCUAUAAGUUUUCAUAAAUACUUAGGUAAAUCUAGUGUACAGUUUCAUUUAUAAUUUAAAUAGUAUAGUUAAAAGUCACAUGACUUUUUUUAUAUCAUCACAAUCAUAUAUUAAUAUUUUUUAAUAUGAUACUAUUAGAUAUAUCACAUAUUUCAAAAUGUCUCAUUUCAAGUUCAAAAAACAUUUAUGAAAUCAACCCAUUUUUUUUUUCAAAGUGUUGGAACCAAUUAGUUCAAUUUUUAAUCAGUAGUUAGCAGGUGAUCAACGUACCUAUUUGGCUCGAUUUUUCAAGUUAGGGCGAGACCAUGAAUUGUAUUUUCAAUCUAUUAAUUGGUACACGCCAUUACAAAGGUUUUUACAAGCCAAACACUGAUGCUAGUGUGUUCAGCAACAAUGCUUAUGGUGGGGACAUUUUUCGAAAUUGUAAUAGCGGUAUAAUUUUUCCUCUCUACAAGGAGUUCUAAAACUUUGGACAUUUUUUUACUGCUUAGAGCUAUGCUUUGCUUCAUGGGUUGCAAUUAUGUGUUUCUUAGGGUUAUCAUGCUACAUAAGUGGAAGUGGAUUUAGCUACACUAGUUAGGUCGUUAAGUUCCAGUUCAAAAGCUAAGUGGCCUUUGUGCAAAUAUUUGAAAUAGAUUCAGAUCACCAUUAAUGUCUUCAAAUAAUCUAUCUCUCAUGUUUACCGCGAGGCGAAUCCUGAUUCCUGAUGGUCUUGUCUUGUUUUCACUUAGACCAUGUAGUUGUUUUCCCUCAUUCCAUCAUCUUUCAACUAGAAUUUAGGCAUUAAUUAAUUUAAAUAUAAUUAUUUUGCUCUACUUAAAAUUACACACUGUGAACUGAGAGUGUUGUACCCCUUAUUUCAUUUAUAUUAUUUCUUUGUACUGAAUGCCAGGUCCUUGUUCCCUCCACAUUUUGUUGAUAUUUUAAUAAAAUAACCCCUCCACGUAAAUGGAGUUUGCUACAAAAAAAUUAUCACAUGAUUUACAAGGAAACUAAAAAAAAUUAACCUACUUGACUAUUUUUGUAUAGUGAUGCCAAAUUCGAUUAGCUAUAAAAGACAUACGAAUAAGUUUUGAUCGAAAUAUUAAUGGCUAAAACUGACGAUGACGUUUGUUAGAUACGGCAUUACUAUUUCCUAUGAUGAAAUAGUUAAUAGUAAAAAUCUAAAAUUGUAUUUGGAUUGCAUUUUUCUAGAUUUUUGGUAAAAAAAAAAUACUGUAGCGAUUGAUAUAUGUAAGGUAAAAAGAUGAUAGGGAAAUGUGUUUACGGAAAAUGUGAUAAUUUUUCUUUGAAACAAACAGGGCCUUAACAUUUAACAAGAAAUUAAUUGUGCCCGUCAUGCCCAAGAAGAGCUGAUUUCCUCUUCGCCCUUCGCAUGCGUGAAAAACGGGUCCCAAAUCCCAACCCGUCAUGUACUAAAGAAGAAACACAAGGGACGGAACAAAUUUGGUCCAAACCUUGAGGACUGAGAGUCAAAUUUAAAAAAAAAAGAGUCAAAUUCUCUCCCUCGAUAUCCACGUGCUAAAAUGCGCCUCGCGUCUGUCUUAUUCCCAUGUCCCAAGUCCCAAAUAGCACUCCCUCCAUUUCUUUUUUAAUUCGAAACUACAAAAGAAAACGGGAAAAAUUCAAAGAUUUGUUUUCUUUACUAUUAGACUAGUGGAUAUAUGCACGCAAGAAACGGUGGAGAUGGUAGUAGAAUACUUCAGUUAUUAAUUCUGACACGAUCGAUUUCGUGCUGGGAUAGCUUUCCCCUGCUGCAUUUAUCCCAUUUUUAUUUACUCGUCACAAAGUUUUAUUCAUCAGAUUCCUAAAGCUGCAAAACAAUUCACCCAUAUCCAGUGUGUAUGAGCUGGGCUGGGUAAGACCAUGCAUUCACACUAAUCCAUUUCAGUUUUAGGUUCAUUUACUCAAUCAAGAAAUAGAAAUUAGUAGAAAAAACCCAGAAGAAAAUGGGCUAUCUUUGGAGAAAAGUUUGUGUUUUUGGUAAAAAAGAGUGAAACUUUUGUGUCAAUUAUGAUGAAUGAGAGAGACAAAUGGGAAAAGAAAAAGGGAAAGGCAAAACAAGGGGUGGGGCGAAUAGGACUGGGAUGGGCGGGUUGUUUCAGAGCUUAGAAGAGAGGAAUCAGAAUGAUGAUCACUUUCAUUGAAAGGUCGGUUUCUUUUGAGGAUAGGUAGAAAAAGAGAACAGAUAAAAGGGAUAUCAAAGGCACACUUGAUAAAUGAUAAUCCGACCACUCGCUAAUUUUUAGUCAUGCUUUGGUCCGCGUGCUUUGAUACAAACUGACCGGCCCCGGCCUUGGCCCCUGCUCCCGGACCUCCUUUUAUUUCUCUUCUUUGUUUUUAGGGGGAGUUCAUUUUCAAAAAUUUCCCUUUCGCUGUGAUGGCGUUGUUGAUGGAGAGAAGCCCCACUUAGAUUUUCAGUACCUUUUGCAGGGCUUUUGUUCCUUGGUUUUGGAUUAUUUGGGCAUGCUCUCUCGCUCUCUCUCGUGUGUCAAAUGGAUUGUUUUCUCACAUAGUGUUACUUCUAGAUUCUCUAAUCAGCUGUGUUCACUUGUUGGUCUUUUGGCGUAAUCCUCAGUUUCUCUCAGAAAUAUCAUGUUAGGCUAGUACUUUGACAUGGGUUUGUUGGUGCCUAUUAAUAAAGUUGAAGACAGCAUGAAGAAGAAUCUUUAAAAGGGGUAAAGGGAUAUUUCUCUUUGCUUUGAAGAAUUAUGUGAUCCCUUUUCAGGUGUGUUAGUGGUUUGCUAGCUCUGGUCCUUCUUUUGAGCUUGUAUUACUCCCUUAGGAUGGGUGGAAAGACUGGAACUUUUUGUGAUGUUGAUCAGUUGCAUGGCAUAUUAAAGGGUUCUUUCUGAUUUGAUUGCUAGGUUCAGUGCUUGAGCAAAGAUGAGUUCUUUUACUGUGUUAUUGAGUUGAAAUAGAAGAGGUACCGGCCAAGAUGGGUGCCGUUGAAGAGAAGAUCAAAGGCGGAGCUUUGGUUCCCGGAGUACAGAACAGUCUACUUGAGGAGAUGAAACUGUUGAAGGAAAUGCAGGAUCAGUCUGGUUAGUUCCCUAAACUGAUUCUUAUUUGUCUCAUAACUCUUAAAUUGAAUAAUGUCUUCACCAGUUAAGAGGCUCGAGAGAGAGGUAAUCUUCAAUAUUCUGGCUUUAGCAUUUGUCUCUUGACAUUAUUCUGAUAGGAGUCUUAUUCUUUGCUGAACCUGAAUUUCCAUAGGAAUUAGAAAGCCAAUAAAUUCGGAGCUGUGGCACGCAUGUGCUGGUCCACUGGUGAUGCUGCCUCAGGUGGGAAGCCUUGUGUAUUAUUUUCCACAAGGUCACAGCGAGCAGGUUAGUAGUUCAUUUUGUUGCUACUAAGUUCAACAGAGUUAUCAUGUUAAAGAAAUAGGUAAAACGCUGCUUGUUUUCAGUUUGCACUUGCAUUGAAUUUAUCACGUUUCUGGCAGAAAUUUCACAUGCUUUGGUAGGGUGCGGUAAAUUGGAUGCUUGUUUAUGACAGGCGAAGUGAUUCUUUCUAAAAUUCAAGUGGAAUGUUACCUUUUAGGAGAUGGCCUUAGGGAUGGGAAAAGGUUUUCAGUGCACCCAAAAACAAGAAAAAGAAGAGGCCUAGAAAUAAGGAAUCUUAUAAAAGCUCACAACGCCAUUUUACCGCUGCUUUGACAAAAGUGGCUCUGAGGUCUGAGAAAUUGCUGACAAUUUGGGGAUUUUUUUGGGUAAAUAACAGAUUGUGAAUGAUAUAAACGAACUAUUAAUUAAAUCUAGACAGUGUGUGCAAUACCUUGGUUGUAGGCUUCAUAGACUAUUGAAGUAGCCAGACCAUUUCCAGAUUUGGUGCUUUUAAGUUUUCAAGCUUUAGUGUUAGGUAGAAUAUGUUGUGGACUUUCCAGAUUAUUUAGAACUUUGCAGGAUUAUGAUCACUAAAAAUGGAUGACUAAACUUAGAAUAGAUUAAAUGUGCUAUCAUAGGGAUGUAUCAGGAGUAUGAUCUACUUUUGAUAUGAUUAAAAUGUCAACGCAUGCAGUCUCUUUGGAUGCUUUUCUGGGUUACUGAGUUGGUUUUUGGGCUAAUGGGAUUUUGCUUUCAUUGACACAGGUUUCAGUUUCAACAAAUAGAACAGCAACGUCUCAAAUCCCAAAUUAUCCCAAUCUCCCCUCUCAACUUUUGUGUCAAGUGCACAAUGUCACACACCAUGUAUGUGCUCUCAGAGAUGUUUUCAGGAAUCUCUCUAUAUAAAAUCUUCGCUAAUGUGUACAAGUCAUUGACAUUUCUCGUGGCAUUCUUUGGUUGUGAUAGGCAGAUAAGGAUACUGAUGAGAUUUAUGCCCAAAUGAGCCUUCAACCUGUGAACUCUGUAAGCUCAAAGUUGAAAAACUGUUUUUACUUGUCAUAAUAUGAAAUUAGCUAAGCCUAGAAUGAAAUAAAUAAACAAACUCCUUUUAAGUUCUUUUACCUUAGAAAAAGUUUCCUUGACGGAAUUUCUUCUCUUUCUGCAUCAGGAUAAAGAUAUUUUUCCCAUGCCAGACUUUGGAAUAAAGCCAAGCAAACAUCCUACCGAAUUCUUUUGCAAGACUCUGACCGCAAGUGACACUAGCACACAUGGUGGCUUCUCAGUUCCUCGAAGGGCAGCUGAAAAACUCUUUCCUCAACUGGUGAGGUUCCUUAUUGCUUGAGAUAUCUUUGCCAGCUUCUGUUGAUGGAUCAUCUACUCCAUCCAUUGAUUUUUCUUAUCUCCAUAUUCAAUUGUGCCAUUUUAGGACUACUCAAUGCAACCUCCAACUCAAGAGCUUGUUGUCCGAGACUUGCAUGAUAAUACCUGGACUUUUCGUCAUAUAUACCGAGGUGAGCAUUCUCUGAUUUCCCUCUUAAAUUUCACUCUAUAUAUUAUUUCAUGCUUGUUUCAUUGAGACUAGGAUUGCCUAGCACAAUUUCGUCUGUAACGAUAAGGUUCAUUGAAAAGUAAUCUUCACAUUGAUAGUCUCCAUAUUUCUACAAUGUCCAACUUUCUAUUAUUCAUUGAUAACUUGCAAUUAACCAUUCCAACUAGGAAGCCAAUGACAUGCAGACAUGUUUGUCAUAAUUGUAUUGUAAUAUAGCAGGGUUGUCCUUGUUGAGGCCGGAUUAAGUCUUACAUUAUUAUUAUCCAAUACUGACCUGAAGUCAGAAUUGAUCUUCAGCAUUGACCAUUUCUCAUUUUACUUUUAUUGACUGUUGCUUUUAAUACUUUGGUUUCUUAUGUAGGUCAGCCAAAGCGGCAUCUUCUUACUACUGGUUGGAGCAUGUUUGUUGGAACAAAGAGACUUAGAGCAGGUGAUUCUGUUCUGUUUAUAAGGUAAUUUCAAGUCAAAUCAACUGACUGUUGGUUAUUUUUCGAUUUCCAAUGCGUGGCAUUUCUUGAGAUGGUUGGAUUUUUUUAUUUUUUUCGAGCCAUAAAGUGAUGUUAUUACAAAUUCUGACGAGCAUGUGCAUUUCUCUGUUUGAGGAAAAGAAAUGAAAACUCAUUGUUGCGUGCAAUGCGACUAUUGAUCUUCAUAAAUUAUUUGGUGCUGAUUAUUGGAAUAAUACGGUUCAUCACAUAAAAUUUAGUUUUUUAGUUGGCUUCAUGUGUGGUUAUUCAUGAUAGAAAAAGUGUUCGAAAUACUCACUGAUCAAGAAUGUGUAAUUCAUUGAUUUUUGAAGAUUAGUAAUGAACGACCCUAUUUGUGAUAGGGAUGAGAAGUCACAGUUAUUGCUUGGAGUGAGGCGUGCUAACCGUCAACAGGCUGCUUUACCAUCAUCGGUACUCUCUGCUGAUAGCAUGCAUAUAGGAGUCCUUGCUGCCGCAGCUCAUGCUGCUGCAAAUAGGAGUCCAUUUACAAUUUUCUACAAUCCCAGGUACUUUGCAAAUAUUUUGUUACAAUAAUUAUUUUUAUAUGAUCAAUCAUUAUUUGAAAAAAACGAGUAACCUUUGGUGAAAUUUGUACGUUCACAGGGCAUGUCCUUCUGAAUUUGUCAUCCCUUUGGCAAGAUAUCGAAAAUCGGUAUAUGGAACACAGCUUUCAGCUGGUAUGAGGUUUGGAAUGAUGUUUGAAACUGAGGAAUCAAGUAAGCGAAGGUAAGUUCUGUUGUCAUUGGCUGUUUACUGAACAAGGUCCCUUUUGACUUCGGUUUUCUCAAACUUUUCCGUUUCAUGGACAGAUAUAUGGGUACAAUUGUUGGCAUAAGUGACUUGGAUCCACUGAGAUGGCCUGGUUCCAAGUGGCGAAGUCUUCAGGUAAAGUGUAUUGGGACUAAUGUUGGAUACUUCAAGAACAGUCAAUUUGGCAAGUUCGGCAAGUUUUGCUUUCAUGUUUGCUUAUUGAACUUUACCUUUGUUCAAACAACAGGUAGAGUGGGAUGAGCCUGGUUGUGGGGAUAAGCAGAAUAGAGUGAGUCCUUGGGAGAUUGAAACCCCUGAAAGUCUCUUCAUUUUUCCUUCUCUGACUGCAGGUCUUAAACGACCUUUCCAAUCUGCAUUUUUGGGUAAGUUUCUUCUUAUGAUGUCUUGUGGCCAGCCCCUGUAUUAAAGUGAUACUAACCAAAUCAAAAUAAUCUUGCAUCAGGAGCACAAACUGAAUGGGAAAGUUUAGUUAACAAACCUUUUCUUCGAGUUCCAGGAAAUCUUAGUGGGGAUAUUGUGUGUCCUUCUGUUUCCAACCCAUGGUCAGAACAACUAAUGAAGAUGCUGAUAAGACCCAAUUGUGUCGACAAUCUUCCCAGCACUGCAUCUUCUAUACUAGAAGCAAAUGCUAAGGUUUCUCCAGUGCUGGAGGCUGAAAAGAUUACGCAGGCAGUAAUCAAGCAAAAGGCUGAUAUUAUUCCUCAAGAGCAUGUAUCUUCGCAAAGUGAGAGUAUUCAGCAAAGCCAUCUUGACCAAGCCAACAACUCAAAACUGAACUUUUCAUCCCAAUCAGUUCUACCUGGAAAACCACAACAUCUGGACAAACUUGGAAACCAAACACCUGUAAUUCAUACCGAAGCUACCAAACUAGAGCCUGAGCUGCAAUCUGAUCAGUUGAGCCAAUAUUCAUCACUUGGACACUGUAACGAUGAUAGAUUGGUAGUUAAGCCUGCAAAUUCGCAUAAUCUCGUAAAUGAUAUCGUAUUAUUGAAUCAGAAUAAUAAUAUGCUAGCAGUGCAAGCAAGUCCAAAGAUGAUGCAGGCACAGUUGGACUCACAUCUUCUCCAGUCUCUGCCAAGUGAUGUAUCCCAAGUAGAAAAUUCGAUCGCCGAUGGUCUAUUUGUUUACCCAGAUCACAAUGAAUGGAAUUUAUAUCCUUCAUCUUGCCAAUCUCUGGCUGGGCUUCUCAAACCUCCUGGAUCUUCAUCUGCUGCAAUUAGGAAGCAUGAUCAGCCAGUUAUAUUAUCAGGAGGAUUGGGCCCUGAACUUUCGACAAUUGAAGAAUUGUGGAAUAACCAAUUUAAUAAUGCGAGAUUUUUGUCCCAGACAAACCCCCUUGUUUCAUUUCCUCAGCAAGAUCUACCCAACCUUCACCUUUUAGCCAGCUCAUUUGGUUUAAAAGAUUUGUCAAAUGAGAGCUCUAACCAAAGUGAUAUGUAUAGUUGUCUAAAUUUUGAUGGAAAUAACAGUGGAAGCACAGUGGUUGAUCCUUCUGUUUCAAGCACAGCAUUGGAUGAAUUCUGCACGCUAAAGAAUUCUAAUUUCCAGAGUCCUUCGGAUUACCUCAUGGGAAACUUCAAUUCGUGCCAGGAUGUUCAAUCUCAGAUUACCUCUACAAGCUUGGCUGAUUCUCAAGCUUUCUCUGUGCAAGAAUUUGUUGAUAACUCGGGUGGUACAUCUUCAAGCGAUGUAGAUUUUGAUGAGAGCAAUGCUUUGCCAAAUAGCUCCUGGCAGCAAACAACUCCAAGGGUGCGAACGUAUACAAAGGUAAGCAAUUUGUUGCAUGCAGCAAGUUGUGCAUUUGGUUGUGGAGUAUUUGCAAAAGUAUUGAGUUGAAUGUAGUAAUUUUUAUAAUAAACGAAGAGGUAAUGUCAUUGCAUCUACUUCCGAGAUAUGUUCAACCACUUUGUUGGUUGACUGGAGCAACUCGGUUAUCCUUUGUUCAUAGCAAAAGAUUGUGGAGUCAUACCUCUAGUAAGUGGUCGCCCAUUGUCAAGUUUGUUUGUGGAAUGCUGACAAAUGUUAUGGACCUGUAGAAUAUUCUUCCUGCAAAGUCACUGACUCUCUAUGGAAGAUUAUUUGGUAUACACUUAUUCAUGUCUGUUUGGCUUUCAACUUUUCAGCUUGCCUUGUGCAUGUUAUGCAUGCCAUUGCUGUUAUCUUUUCCAAAUUUUUAAUGGCUUUCGCUUAUUUUACUUCCUCAAUGAUGGAAUACGUAUUGGCUGAUAGAUCCAAAAGGCUGGAUCUGUUGGAAGGUCAAUUGACGUCUCAAGUUUCAAGAAUUAUGAUGAACUAUGUUCUGCAAUUGAGCGGAUGUUUGGACUCGAGGGACUGCUAAACGACUCGAAAGGUUCUGGCUGGAAACUGGUGUAUGUGGAUUUUGAGAAUGAUGUGCUUCUUGUUGGGGAUGAUCCUUGGGAGUAAGUUGCUUUUCUAUUCUGUGUCUAUAGAAAGCCUUGUGUAUCAUCAACAUCAGAAGGCACGUUUAGUUUCUUGCUGUAAAUUUAUUGCAGAUAUUGUCCUGGAGACACUACUUGCAAGCAAAAUUUCUCUUUCAGAUUUACUAUAUUACUCCAUGAUUAUGCAGCAUAGCAUGUAUGGCGAAUCAGAGCAAUUAUGUUUGCUGACAAAGGUUUUGUUUUUUCAUCCUGAAAUGGAAUUACAGGGAAUUUGUUGGUUGUGUCAAGUGCAUCAGAAUCCUAUCACCCUCUGAGGUUCAGCAAAUGGGUGAAGAGGGAAUGCAACUUCUAAACUCUGUCUCAGAAGCAGGACGUUCUUGUGAUGGCCUUGGCUAAUAUGUGAGAAAGCACGCCUGCUUUUGAAAUCGCGGUGCUUUGUUGCCCCUCCUCGCUGAUGCUGAGAUAAAGUCUGAUUUUCAACUCUGCUUAAUCCAUGCAUCGCAGUAUCAUGUUGGCUGGCAACAUAGAUGCUAAUAAAUGUAUUAAUGUAAUGUAUGUACAACCUUAUAAGGUGGUGUAGAGUAGUAUUGUAGUUUGAGCUUUCUUUUAAUGCUUGUCUUGUGUUAUGGAAACGUACCAGUAGUUUGAGCAUUUUUAAAUGCAAGUCUUGUAUGACGGAAACGUAUCAGGUUCUGUAGCAGCGAGUGGCGACAUUUUUAGCAUAUGAAGCUAUUAUGGGAAGACAAUUUGCAGUUCAUACACGCUAGUGUGGAAAUAGACCUCUCCAGAAAACUGGUAAUAAGUGUUGUUGCGUUCAAGGAAUGAACCAAAUCCUAUGCAGAAGUAAGGCAACUCUGUUUUAUUAUUAUUUCUCAACUUUCGUCGCGUAGGGAUUCGUAUUUUGCAUUUCAAACAAGCUACAAUUAAGAGAAACAGCUUCCCAUUUGCUGCACCUUACAUCACUUUUCUUCCGCUUCGCUUCGCUACUUAACAUUUCAGGCAUUUGAAAGAUGCCUCCUAAGGAUGUACAUUGUACCGAGGUUCAGAAAAAAACAGGAGAGUUAAUAAUCUGGAAAAGCGCAUAAAGAGGGAACUGUGGCCCUGGCAGUAGCGUAUAUCUUCCAUGGCAAUGAACCAAAUGCCAUUAAACAAUUGAAUGCCCCCUCAGGAGUUUUUGUUGUCUAAAUUAACAGGCCCAACCAUGCAGACGGUCAAACAUACAACACUUGAAUAUUUGGAGAUGGUGGUUAAAAUGAAGUUGACAUAGCUGAAGCAUGACAUUUACUCCUACAAACUCCCAAAAUCAAGUGCUAAAAUGGAAGAAAUAGAGGCCCCAGAAGAGAGCCAACAACUCUGCUUGCAAGUGGACAAAUCUUUAGUUGGUGAGAACUAGGCCUAGAGCUUAAUAAUUAGCAUUACAAUCAACUUUGCAAACUUAAUGUUAACUGUUGAUCUCCAUCGUAAUACAAGUUAUUGACAGAGACUGAACUUGUCCCUUUUAGACAAGAGUGGGAUGAGCCUGAAUAAUAGUCUUGUACCCUUGGGAGAGUAUUAACCCUUGGGAAAUUGAGAACCCUGGCAGUCUUCCAAAUAAUACUCUUGAACGAUGUCCAAAAAGAACAAAAACUAUCUUUUAAAGAAACCUGCGAGAGAUAUGCUACAACUAUAUCACAGAUAAAGACGGUCUACACUUAUCAGGAAUAUCUGGGACUCGCCACCGUAUCAGAUUGCUAGUCUGUAUAGUCUGAUGGAUGAUAGAAUGCAUACAGAAAACAACCAGCUUGAGAAUUAUCAUUUAAGAGAGUAGGUCUACUUUGUGGGUUGGGGAACUGAAUUGUUGGAACUUAUGUUGUUCUGGCUGAACCCCUUGGAAACAUUUUUUCUGGCUGAAAUGGAUUAAAAAGGCCUAAUAUGGCUACCAACCAGUAGGAUUAACCAGAAAGACCAAGAAUGAAAUCUAAUCAAAACUGUAGGGCUUUCUAAUCUUGUCUAACAUUUCCCUGUGCAAGGGUGCUAAAGCUGAAUGCUGGCAACUAUGGAGGAUGAGGGGGGAGGAUUUAGAACAUUUUUUGCAAGAAUGGUCAUAGGAGCUGCUUGUCAGGCCAACUGAAUUUUAAUACUUUAUCCUUCCCUGGAAGUCCAGAUAAGAAAGCUUGAAAGCAUCAAAUACCUCGCCAUAUACUCUGCAGAGUCUCCUUGUCGACCAAAAGCUGACACAUGCUAUGACAGCUAAGAAUUAUUUUUCUCAAAGUUAGGUCGUAGAAACCAUUCGAUGAACCAGAUGCAAAAUUGGCACAUGCCCGCUAGUCAAAAUGAACCUGAAAAAACCUAUUCUAGGGAUAUGGAAUCUCGGCGCUAACAGAUCUAAUUACGGACAGAAGAACCAAACACAAUAAAAAGCUUAACAAAAGACAAUGAUCCAGAAACAACGAGCAAAAGGACCUGAACAUUGAAAAGCAUAAACAGCAUUUGAGGACCAUUUUGUAUCUCAAUGAAAUGCCUCGAGCACUUAUGCAGCAAAAGCCCUUAAAUAGGUGAUUGAAGAAAUCAAGCAGAAUCUUUUGACAGUCAGAAGCCAACACCCACCAAAAGCAUUCAACAACUGGGCUUAUCAGUGAGAUAAAAAAGUUCACCGGAAGCACCUUAGUGACCCACAUUGCAAGUUCAUCCAGAUAUAAGCCUCAGGUUGUGCUGAAAAUUUUCAAAAUAUUGAAUAAAUUGAUAUUACAAAUGACCUUGUCAAUAAAAAUCCAACUAAGAAGACAUCUUUCUUUAAAAAUUCAUCAAGAAGAAAGUAAAACAAAUUUAUAAAGUAAACAGAUAUACAACACUUGGAAAUUGGCAGAGCCUAUCAUCAUGUAUGUUGCUGAUUGCAGUCGAGAAAGAUAUAACCAAUUCACCUUGCUUAUUUCACAUUGCAAAGAAAUAUAUGAGGCAGUUAAGAAAUGAGAUAACAGCCAAAAUAUCUAUUGUGGAGUCUAUUGCUAGAUAAGCUAUUCUUACCUCUUAAUAUGCACGGACCAGUCCUAAUUCAUUGUACCCUUACUGGUUUCUGUAGAACAGCAGAGAGGUAAACUUCUGCUUUUCCUGAUCCAUUGAUCUU